RNAcentral lists this ribosomal RNA (439 nucleotides) under uncultured bacterium. RNAcentral describes it as "bacterial SSU rRNA". It matches the Rfam family "Bacterial small subunit ribosomal RNA", at positions 340 to 773 of the family's 1533-position model. The record is from RNAcentral.
UACGGAAGGCAGCAGUGGGGAAUAUUGCACAAUGGGCGCAAGCCUGAUGCAGCCAUGCCGCGUGUAUGAAGAAGGCCUUCGGGUUGUAAAGUACUUUCAGUCGUGAGGAAGGUGUUAAGGUUAAUAACCUUAGCAAUUGACGUUAGCGACAGAAGAAGCACCGGCUAACUCCGUGCCAGCAGCCGCGGUAAUACGGAGGGUGCGAGCGUUAAUCGGAAUUACUGGGCGUAAAGGGCACGCAGGCGGUUAAUUAAGUUGGAUGUGAAAUCCCCGGGCUUAACCUGGGAAUGGCAUUCAAGACUGGUUAGCUAGAGUCUUGUAGAGGGGGUAGAAUUCCAUGUGUAGCGGUGAAAUGCGUAGAGAUGUGGAGGAAUACCGGUGCGAAGGCGGCCCCUGGACAAAGGACUGACGCUCAUGUGCGAAAGCGUGGGGAGCAAAC